Molecule: ribosomal RNA, 468 nt
Filed under: uncultured bacterium
Lineage: Bacteria
Description: partial 16S ribosomal RNA
Rfam family: Bacterial small subunit ribosomal RNA
Source: RNAcentral
GACGAACGCUGGCGGCUUGCUUAACACAUGCAAGUCGAACGGAAAGGCCCUGCUUUUGUGGGGUGCUCGAGUGGCGAACGGGUGAGUAACACGUGAGUAACCUGCCCUUGACUUUGGGAUAACUUCAGGAAACUGGGGCUAAUACCGGAUAGGAGCUCCUGCUGCAUGGUGGGGGUUGGAAAGUUUCGGCGGUUGGGGAUGGACUCGCGGCUUAUCAGCUUGUUGGUGGGGUAGUGGCUUACCAAGGCUUUGACGGGUGGCCGGCCUGAGAGGGUGACCGGCCACAUUGGGACUGAGAUACGGCCCAGACUCCUACGGGAGGCAGCAGUGGGGAAUAUUGCACAAUGGGCGGAAGCCUGAUGCAGCAACGCCGCGUGCGGGAUGACGGCCUUCGGGUUGUAAACCGCUUUCGCCUGUGACGAAGCGUGAGUGACGGUAAUGGGUAAAGAAGCACCGGCUAACUACGUG